Ochotona curzoniae (black-lipped pika) is the source of this 106-nucleotide long non-coding RNA. RefSeq lists it as uncharacterized. The record is from RefSeq and is a predicted model, not a curated record. Lineage: Eukaryota; Metazoa; Chordata; Mammalia; Lagomorpha; Ochotonidae. The transcript is spliced from 3 exons.
GGUCUGUAUCUCUCAGCUGCCACCGCUGCCUCCCACUUGCGCUUGCUGAUCUGAGCCGCCAUGUUGGCCGCGGUCCAGGAGUGCUGGUCCUCAUUCAGGACGAUGU